CCUAAGUCCUAAUUAAUGCCAGGGCUUUGGAGAAUAUGAGAAAAGCAUUUUCUGGCAUGCUGGAGACAGGUAUGGAAGAUAUCUGGGGUUUGAGAGCCACAACCAAAUGUUGAGGAGCUUGCUGAACCCCAGAAGACUGACAGCUCUGAGGACCCACAUUAGAGUUGGGGAGUUUCCAUGGAUCGCUCUCUGUUUUGUUCUCAUAGCACCAUGAAACUUGACACAUGGACCAAGAAAGCAAAGGCUCUUCCAAGAUACCUCCUCUCCAGUCUG
RNAcentral lists this long non-coding RNA (273 nucleotides) under Mus spicilegus (steppe mouse). RNAcentral's name for it is "lncRNA (ENSMSIG00000025168.1)". The record is from RNAcentral. Lineage: Eukaryota; Metazoa; Chordata; Mammalia; Rodentia; Muridae.